This 87-nucleotide transfer RNA is filed under the name Caldithrix sp. Its description in RNAcentral is "tRNA-Ser". It matches the Rfam family "tRNA". Rfam says of the family: Transfer RNA (tRNA) molecules are approximately 80 nucleotides in length. Their secondary structure includes four short double-helical elements and three loops (D, anti-codon, and T loops). Further hydrogen bonds mediate the characteristic L-shaped molecular structure. tRNAs have two regions of fundamental functional importance: the anti-codon, which is responsible for specific mRNA codon recognition, and the 3' end, to which the tRNAs corresponding amino acid is attached (by aminoacyl-tRNA synthetases). tRNAs cope with the degeneracy of the genetic code in two manners: having more than one tRNA (with a specific anti-codon) for a particular amino acid; and 'wobble' base-pairing, i.e. permitting non-standard base-pairing at the 3rd anti-codon position. Lineage: Bacteria; Pseudomonadati; Calditrichota; Calditrichia; Calditrichales; Calditrichaceae. The record is from RNAcentral. RNAcentral also lists the same sequence under 1 other name.
GGAGAGGUGCCAGAGCUGGCUUAUCGGGGCGGUCUCGAAAACCGUUGUGGCCUUUGGUCACCGGGGGUUCGAAUCCCUCCCUCUCCG